GCAUUGGUGGUUCAGUGGUAGAAUUCUAGCUUGCCAUGUUGGAGGCCUGCUUGGUUCAAUUCCCAGCCAAUGCA
Molecule: non-coding RNA, 74 nt
Organism: Ameiurus melas (black bullhead)
Lineage: Eukaryota; Metazoa; Chordata; Actinopteri; Siluriformes; Ictaluridae
Source: the annotation of a GenBank genome assembly